This 497-nucleotide ribosomal RNA is filed under the name uncultured bacterium. RNAcentral describes it as "partial 16S ribosomal RNA". It matches the Rfam family "Bacterial small subunit ribosomal RNA", at positions 28 to 507 of the family's 1533-position model. The record is from RNAcentral.
GAUGAACGCUGGCGGCGUGCCUAAUACAUGCGAGUCGAGCGAACGGACGAGAAGCUUGCUUCUCUGAUGUUAGCGGCGGACGGGUGAGUAACACGUGGAUAACCUACCUAUAAGACUGGGAUAACUUCGGGAAACCGGAGCUAAUACCGGAUAAUAUUUUGAACCGCAUGGUUCAAAAGUGAAAGACGGUCUUGCUGUCACUUAUAGAUGGAUCCGCGCUGCAUUAGCUAGUUGGUAAGGUAACGGCUUACCAAGGCAACGAUGCAUAGCCGACCUGAGAGGGUGAUCGGCCACACUGGAACUGAGACACGGUCCAGACUCCUACGGGAGGCAGCAGUAGGGAAUCUUCCGCAAUGGGCGAAAGCCUGACGGAGCAACGCCGCGUGAGUGAUGAAGGUCUUCGGAUCGUAAAACUCUGUUAUUAGGGAAGAACAUAUGUGUAAGUAACUGUGCACAUCUUGGCGGUACCUAAUCAGAAAGCCACGGCUAACUACGUG